GGUUUGUUUGUUGUCUGUGUUUGUUGUCUGUGUUUGUUGUGUUUGCUUGUUGUUUGUGUUUGUGUCUGUGAUGCUGGAUGUUUGUUUGUUGUCUGUGUUUGUGUCUGAUGCUGGAUGUUUGUUUGUUGUCUGUGUUUGUGUCUGAUGCUGGAGGUUUGCUUGUUGUUUGUGUUUGUUGUCUGUGUUUGUUGUCUGUGUUUGUUGUUUGUGUUUGUGUCUGUGAUGCUGGAUGUUUGUUUGUUGUCUGUGUUUGUGUCUGAUGCUGGAGCUUUGCUUGUUGUUUGUGUUUGUUGUUUGUGUUUGUUGUUUGUGUUUGUUGUCUGUGUUUAUUGUCUGUGCUUGUUGUCAGUGUUUGUUGUCUGUGUUUGUUGUCUGUUUGUUGGUAGUUGUUCUUGUGGAAUGAUGUCAUACUUGGCUUGAAUGAACCCUUUUUCUCCAUUCUCCAGUAUUUAAUUUAUUUAUUCUCUAAGUUGAGCGGACAUUGAGCACAAAGAGUUUCAUUACUGAUAAAUGCUGUUUAUGAGUAUAUGAUGAUAAACUUGAACUUGAACUUGAACUUGAAC
Molecule: long non-coding RNA, 563 nt
Organism: Clupea harengus (Atlantic herring)
Lineage: Eukaryota; Metazoa; Chordata; Actinopteri; Clupeiformes; Clupeidae
Source: Ensembl